AGUCCUGUAGCUCAACGGUAGAGCGUUUGCCUUACAAGCAAGAUGUUGCAGGUUCAACUCCUGUCAGGACUACCA
This 75-nucleotide transfer RNA is filed under the name Microcoleus vaginatus PCC 9802. RNAcentral's name for it is "tRNA-Val". It matches the Rfam family "tRNA". Rfam says of the family: Transfer RNA (tRNA) molecules are approximately 80 nucleotides in length. Their secondary structure includes four short double-helical elements and three loops (D, anti-codon, and T loops). Further hydrogen bonds mediate the characteristic L-shaped molecular structure. tRNAs have two regions of fundamental functional importance: the anti-codon, which is responsible for specific mRNA codon recognition, and the 3' end, to which the tRNAs corresponding amino acid is attached (by aminoacyl-tRNA synthetases). tRNAs cope with the degeneracy of the genetic code in two manners: having more than one tRNA (with a specific anti-codon) for a particular amino acid; and 'wobble' base-pairing, i.e. permitting non-standard base-pairing at the 3rd anti-codon position. Lineage: Bacteria; Bacillati; Cyanobacteriota; Cyanophyceae; Oscillatoriales; Microcoleaceae. RNAcentral also lists the same sequence under 1 other name. The record is from RNAcentral.